Molecule: ribosomal RNA, 563 nt
Filed under: Hanseniaspora occidentalis
Lineage: Eukaryota; Fungi; Ascomycota; Saccharomycetes; Saccharomycodales; Saccharomycodaceae
Description: partial large subunit ribosomal RNA
Rfam family: Eukaryotic large subunit ribosomal RNA
Source: RNAcentral
AUGCCUCAGUACGGCGAGUGAGCGGCAAAAGCUCAAAUUUGAAAUCUGGCACUUUCAGUGUCCGAGUUGUAAUUUGUAGAAGUAGUUUUGGGACUGGUCCUUAUCUAUGUUUCUUGGAACAGGACGUCAUAGAGGGUGAGAACCCCGUAUGAUGAGGCCCCCAGUCCUUUGUAAAACGCUUUCGAAGAGUCGAGUUGUUUGGGAAUGCAGCUCUAAGUGGGUGGUAAAUUCCAUCUAAAGCUAAAUAUUGGCGAGAGACCGAUAGCGAACAAGUACAGUGAUGGAAAGAUGAAAAGAACUUUGAAAAGAGAGUGAAAAAGUACGUGAAAUUGUUGAAAGGGAAGGGCAUUUGAUCAGACAUGGUGUUUUGCGCCCUUUGCUCCUUGUGGGCGGAGGAUACGCAGCUCACUGGGCCAACAUCAGUUUUGGGAGCAGGAUAAAUCUGUAGGAACGUAGCUUUCUUCGGGAAGUGUUAUAGCCUAUGGGAAUACUGCUACCUGGGACUGAGGACUGCGUCUUUUGACAAGGAUGUUGGCAUAAUGGUUAAAUGCCGCCCGUCUUGA